Molecule: ribosomal RNA, 490 nt
Filed under: uncultured bacterium
Lineage: Bacteria
Description: partial 16S ribosomal RNA
Rfam family: Bacterial small subunit ribosomal RNA
Source: RNAcentral
AGUGAACGCUGGCGGUAGGCCUAACACAUGCAAGUCGAACGGCAGCACAGGAGGGCUUGCUCUCUGGGUGGCGAGUGGCGGACGUGUGUGGAAUACAUCUGAAUCUGCUCAGUCGUGGGGGAUAACGUAGGGAAACUUACGCUAAUACCGCAUACGACCUUCGGGUGAAAGAGGGGGAGUGCAAGACCUCUUGCGUUUGGAUGAUCCGAUGUCGGAUUAGCUAGUUGGCGGGGUAAUGGCCCACCAAGGCGACGAUCCGUAGCUGGUCUGAGAGGUUGAUCAGCCACACUGGAACUGAGACACGGUCCAGACUCCUACGGGAGGCAGCAGUGGGGAAUAUUGCACAAUGGGCGCAAGCCUGACCCAGCCAUACCGCGUGAGUGAAGAAGGCCUUCGGGUUGUAAAGCCCUUUUGUUGGGAAAGAAAACUUGCAGGCUAAUACCCUCGGAGGAUGACGGUACCCAAAGAAUAAGCACCGGCUAACUUCGUG